This is a non-coding RNA of Parelaphostrongylus tenuis, 71 nucleotides long. The record is from the annotation of a GenBank genome assembly. Lineage: Eukaryota; Metazoa; Nematoda; Chromadorea; Rhabditida; Metastrongylidae.
ACCCGGUAGUGCAGUGGUUAGCACGCAUCUCCGGAAAGGGUGAGACGCGGAUUCCGCUCCCGUCCGGAAUU